GGAGGUCCAGCCUGCCCAGUGACUACGGGUUCAACGGCCGCGGUAUUUUGACCGUGCAAAGGUAGCGCAAUCACUUGUCUCUUAAAUAGAGACCUGUAUGAAUGGCUAGACGAGGGCUUAACUGUCUCCCCCCUCCAGUCAGUGAAAUUGAUCUAUCCGUGCAGAAGCGGGUAUAAUUAUACAAGACGAGAAGACCCUUUGGAGCUUAAGGUACAAAAUUCAACCACGUUAAACGACUCUGUAGAAAGCAAGAACUUAGUGGCGGAUGAAAUUUUACCUUCGGUUGGGGCGACCACGGAGGAGAAAGAAGCCUCCGAGUGGACUGGGCUAAACCCCAAAGCUAAGAGAGACAUCUCUAAGCCGCAGAACAUCUGACCAAGAAUGAUCCGACUGAAAGGCCGAUCAACGAACCAAGUUACCCUAGGGAUAACAGCGCAAUCCUCUCCCAGAGUCCAUAUCGACGAGGGGGUUUACGACCUCGAUGUUGGAUCAGGACAUCCUAAUGGUGCAGCCGCUAUUAAGGGUUCGUUUGUUCAACGAUUAAAGUCCUACGUGAUCUGAGUUCAGACCGG
Molecule: ribosomal RNA, 572 nt
Filed under: Alburnus alburnus (bleak)
Lineage: Eukaryota; Metazoa; Chordata; Actinopteri; Cypriniformes; Leuciscidae
Description: partial 16S ribosomal RNA
Rfam family: Bacterial large subunit ribosomal RNA
Source: RNAcentral